GCCGGGAUAGCUCAGCUGGGAGAGCAACAGACUGAAGAUUUAAUUGGCUUCUGGAGGUCCCGUGUUCAAUCCACGGUCCUGGCA
Transfer RNA from Laetiporus sulphureus 93-53, 84 nucleotides. It matches the Rfam family "tRNA". From Rfam's summary of the family: Transfer RNA (tRNA) molecules are approximately 80 nucleotides in length. Lineage: Eukaryota; Fungi; Basidiomycota; Agaricomycetes; Polyporales; Laetiporaceae. The record is from Rfam.